CCAUUUUUCUUUUUUUCUACUUUUUUUUAUUUUAGCAAAAUUUACGAUUUAACGUGAAAGUAGAACAAAACAAAAAGCCUUAUAGAGAGACAGGCUGGCUGCCUAGGUGGGCCAUGUACUACUUAAAAGAAUGGCAAGCUUGGAACUUUGAAAACACGAGACUGAAAAUCCCGCUAACCAGGCAGCAUAUAUACCAGCCAACACUUAGCGCCAAUGCCGAGCCAUAGCUGUGCCCCACAAACCCUUUCGUGCCCCUCCAGAUAAGGAUGAUGAGUAACUAUUUAAGAAAUUACGAGCUGGUUCCCGAAAAGCGGGCGGGAAUUUUAUUUGCAACAAUUUGAGGCAAGCAGAAAUGCAUGCGGGUGCGUUAAAAGUUGCCAAACGUCGAUUUGUGCUGGCUCCGAAAACUUUUACAACGCGACAGACUGUGUAAAUAUACAAUAGCGCACAUCAAGAUGGAUAGACGGAUCUCUGAUACUGUGCUGAAGCUGAAUAGACUACGAAGUCACUGAGAGCAUAAAGUUUUCGGAGCCCCGAACUCUUUACCAACAGUUUUAAUUUUCGCGCUCUUCUUGAAUGAACAUUUUCAACAAUUGAAAUGACUUAUGCGACUGCUUUUUCGUAUUAAUGAUGUGGCCUGAGCGUGGGUUCAAAGGCAAUCUAAGAGUUUUACCCAUGCUAAUGACAGGAAAUAUAACAAAUAUUCUAUGGAGAGUCGAAAACUUAAAACGUUUUA
This is a long non-coding RNA of Drosophila novamexicana, 736 nucleotides long. RefSeq lists it as uncharacterized. Lineage: Eukaryota; Metazoa; Arthropoda; Insecta; Diptera; Drosophilidae. The transcript has 3 exons. The record is from RefSeq and is a predicted model, not a curated record.